GACGAACGCUGGCGGCGUGCUUAACACAUGCAAGUCGAACGGAAAGGCCCUGCUUUUGUGGGGUGCUCGAGUGGCGAACGGGUGAGUAACACGUGAGUAACCUGUCCCUGACUUUGGGAUAACUUCAGGAAACUGGGGCUAAUACCGGAUAGGAGCUCUUGCUGCAUGGUGGGGGUUGGAAAGUUUCGGCGGUUGGGGAUGGACUCGCGGCUGAUCAGCUUGUUGGUGGGGUAGUGGCUUACCAAGGCUUUGACGGGUAGCCGGCCUGAGAGGGUGACCGGCCACAUUGGGACUGAGAUACGGCCCAGACUCCUACGGGAGGCAGCAGUGGGGAAUAUUGCACAAUGGGCGGAAGCCUGAUGCAGCAACGCCGCGUGCGGGAUGACGGCCUUCGGGUUGUAAACCGCUUUCGCCUGUGACGAAGCGUGAGUGACGGUAAUGGGUAAAGAAGCACCGGCUAACUACGUG
This 468-nucleotide ribosomal RNA is filed under the name uncultured bacterium. Its description in RNAcentral is "partial 16S ribosomal RNA". It matches the Rfam family "Bacterial small subunit ribosomal RNA", at positions 28 to 507 of the family's 1533-position model. The record is from RNAcentral.